CUGAAGCCACGUUGUGAGGCGUGGUGGAGCGAUGCGAAGAGAGAAUGUCGGCAUAAGUAGCAAAAAGACAGGUGAAAAUCCUGUCCACCGUAAACCCGAGGUUUCCAGGGCAACGCGAAUCGUCCCUGGGUUAGUCGGGCCUAAGGCGAGGCCGAAAGGCGUAGUCGAUGGACAGCAGGUUAAUAUUCCUGCACUGCCUUCAGGUUUCAAUGGAGUGACGUGUUCUUGAGUUUUUCGAGGAUCCCGGAAUGAUCCUUCGGGGGCGUUGGGGCGUGGGAUAGGCAAAUCCGUUCCACAUUAACCUCGGCGUUAGCGCGAGUCCUGCCUUUGGCGGGGCAAGGAAAGAGGAGAGGACACCUAGAAAACCUUCUAGAGUUAACCUGUAGGCAUCCGUACCGCAAACCGACACAGGUGGGUGGGCAUAAGAGUGCUAAGGUGUACGAGAGAAACCAUGUUUAGGAACUCGGCAAUACAGCGGCCGUAACUUCGGGAUAAGGCCUGCCACGUAGAGCGCAAGCUUUUACGUGGCUUCAACAAAAGACGCAAACCGACUGUUUACCAAAAACACAGCUUCCUGCUAAACCGCAAGGUGAUGUAUAGGAAGUGAUGCCUGGCCAGUGUCAGAACGUCAAGCGGAGAGGUCAUGGGCGCAAGCUCGGCAGCCUUGAAGCCAAGCGCUGAUGAACGCCGGCGAUAACUAUAGACAUGAUUGUAGUUAUCUAAAAAAAUCUAGCUAUUUGCGGGAAACUCCGCGUAGGUCAUCCGUACGUACAGGUCAUGCUGUUGUCACAAUCGGAUGAAUAAUAUGAUCACAAGAUCAUUGGCGGACAAUCCGCAGGAAAGACUUCUAUGAGUACUUCAAGCACAUGGCUUGAUCAGAUUCCUGCGAGAAUAGGUUACUAUCUCGCGGGAUUCGUCGAUGGCGAAGGAAGCUUUAUUGCUUCUGUCCGUCGUCGGCAAGAUCACGCAAGUGGAUGGCAAGUAGAACUGACAUUUAACGUGUCGCAGAAAGAACGGCACAUCCUGGCAUACUUCAAACGGUAUCUGGGAUGCGGUCGCUUCCAACAGCGACCGGAUGGCAUUUUUUACUUCGUCGUCUCAAAUCAACGAUCCAUUCAGAAACGGGUCAUCCCGUUCUUCGAAAAGUUUUCGUUUCUCUCGCAACGUAAGCAAUCCAACUUCGCUAUCUUCAAAAAGAUCUCGUCGUUGAUUGCUCGGCAAGAGCAUCUCACAUCGCAAGGGCUUGAACAGAUCAUGCAUCUGCGAGAGCGCUUGAAUGAGGGAAGAGGUAGGACUCGAAAGUAUUCGUUGCAUGAUUAUCAACAAUCACGCGUAGAAGAAUCCUCAGAGACUAUACGCUAGACCUGCCACAACUUCUUCGAAGAAGAAGUUGGCGGGAAGAUAUAGUCCGAUCUCAUGGGAGACCAUGAGCCCCGUAUCGCUCAACCGGGGGUUCGUGAAAACGAAUUAACAGCAUAAAUCGUCCUAAGGUGAAUCAACGUUGCCUUAGUGAGGUGAAAGCCCUCCUUCGAACUUCCGUAUGCCAUGGAAGAUGUAGAAGAAAACUUGGCUAUAUGCUGGAACCGCCGUGUAUCCGGUGCUACCCCGACAUUACGUCGGGGUGACAAUGCAACCGGUGCGGCCAAUCAGCAGGGAAGAAUUCAAGAAAGGCAAGCUCAAUGAGAAAAUAUGUGAUCAUCGCGCAACCUGGCGGCGACCCCGUCGAAGACGAAGCAGAUGAUCAUGUUGGAAACUGCCCAACGAAAAACAAACUGAAUUCCCCUCAGAGACUACACGCCAGAAGGAGUCUCCUCGGACCGAAACGACGAAAGUCAAAGUAGGUCCAUCGAAUCUUCUAAGAUAUAGUCCGACCUGCCUCGACGUGAAGUCGGGAUCCCGUUUCUCUGAAUUUUUCAGGAGCGGGACAUGGCGACAUGCAGAGUGCGACAGAAAUGAUCGCACCGUGUCGAAAGACAUGUAACACAGAGAGCGAAAUUCCUUGUCGGGUGAGUUCCGACCCGCACGAAUGGCAUAACGAGUUUGCGACUGUCUCAACAUGGUACUCGGCGAAAUUGCAAGUGGGGUGAAGAUGCCCUGUACGCGUAGUCAGACGAAAAGACCCCGUGAAGCUUUACUAUAACUUGAUAUUGGGUCGCGGUUUUGCCUGUUCAGAAUAGGUGGGAGCCUUCGGGCGCCAGUGAGAUACCACCCUUGCAUUCCCGCGAUUCUUGAUCUCUAUCCGUGAAACCGGAUGGGGAGACAGUAUCUGGUGGGUAGUUUAACUGGGGCGGUUGCCUCCUAAAAGGUAACGGAGGCGUUCACUAAGGUCGGCUAAGCGCGGAUGGAAAUCGCGCUGAUUCCGCAAUGGGAUAAGCCGGCUUAACUGCAAGACCAACAAGUCGAGCAGAUGCGAAAGCAGGACAUAGUGAUCCGACCGUACGAUAUCGGACGGCGGAAGCUCAACGGAUAAAAGCUACUCCGGGGAUAACAGGCUGAUCUCCUCCAAGAGUCCACAUCGACGAGGAGGUUUGGCACCUCGAUGUCGGCUCAUCGCAUCCUGGGGCUGAAGAAGGUCCCAAGGGUUUGGCUGUUCGCCAAUUAAAGCGGUACGCGAGCUGGGUUCAGAACGUCGUGAGACAGUUCGGUCUCCUGUCUACUACGCGCGUGGAAUAUUGAGAGGGCGAUUCUCUAGUACGAGAGGACCGA
Molecule: ribosomal RNA, 2706 nt
Filed under: groundwater metagenome
Description: bacterial LSU rRNA
Rfam family: Bacterial large subunit ribosomal RNA
Source: RNAcentral